Molecule: ribosomal RNA, 716 nt
Filed under: uncultured Ascomycota
Lineage: Eukaryota; Fungi; Ascomycota
Description: LSU rRNA
Rfam family: Eukaryotic large subunit ribosomal RNA
Source: RNAcentral
GUGAAAUUGUUGAAAGGGAAGCGCUUGCAAUCAGACUUGCGCGCAGUUGAUCAUCUGGUGUUCUCACUAGUGCACUCGGCUGCGUUCAGGCUAGCAUCAGUUUCAGUGGUUGGAUAAAGGCCAGAGGAAUGUGACUUCUUUCGGGGAGUGUUAUAGCCUCUGGUGGAAUGCAACCUACUGGGACUGAGGACCGCGCUUCGGCUAGGAUGCUGGCGUAAUGGUUGUAAGCGACCCGUCUUGAAACACGGACCAAGGAGUGGAACAUUUUUGCGAGUGUUUGGGUGCAAAACCCAUACGCAUAAUGAAAGUGAAUGGAGGUGAGAACCCUCAAGGGUGCAUCAUCGACCGAUCCUGAUGUCUUCGGAUGGAUUUGAGUAAGAGCAAAACUGUUCCGACCCGAAAGAUGGUGAUCUAUACGUGAAUAGGGUGAAGCCAGAGGAAACUCUGGUGGAGGCUCGCAGCGGUUCUGACGUGCAAAUCGAUCGUCAAAUUUGCGUAUAGGGGCGAAAGUGAGUUUUUACCAUUACUAAUCGAACCAUCUAAACCCACUACUGGAUGGGAUAUGGGGUGACUGGGUGCCCAAGUAGUCUCCUAGUGAGGCAACAUUACUACUGUGCUGGUAUGCCUCCUGGGCUACCUGCAGCGGGCACCAGCUCGUUCACAGACUAAACAGUAAUGGCCCUGAGCUCAGGGUUGCGACAUAGCCGAUUCCUCCC